GUAAAAAAUUUAUAAGAAUAUGAUGUUGGUUCAGAUUAAGCGCUAAAUAAGGACAUGACACAUGCGAAUCAUACGUUUAUUAUUGAUAAGAUAAUAAAUAUGUGGUGUAAACGUGAGUAAUUUUAUUAGGAAUUAAUGAACUAUAGAAUAAGCUAAAUACUUAAUAUAUUAUUAUAUAAAAAUAAUUUAUAUAAUAAAAAGGAUAUAUAUAUAAUAUAUAUUUAUCUAUAGUCAAGCCAAUAAUGGUUUAGGUAGUAGGUUUAUUAAGAGUUAAACCUAGCCAACGAUCCAUAAUCGAUAAUGAAAGUUAGAACGAUCACGUUGACUCUGAAAUAUAGUCAAUAUCUAUAAGAUACAGCAGUGAGGAAUAUUGGACAAUGAUCGAAAGAUUGAUCCAGUUACUUAUUAGGAUGAUAUAUAAAAAUAUUUUAUUUUAUUUAGUUCCGGGGCCCGGCCACGGGAGCCGGAACCCCGAAAGGAGAAAUAUUAAAUAUUUAUAAUAAUAAUAAUAAUAAUAUAUAUAUAUAAAUUGAUUAAAAAUAAAAUCCAUAAAUAAUUAAAAUAAUGAUAUUAAUUACCAUAUAUAUUUUUAUAUGGAUAUAUAUAUUAAUAAUAAUAUUAAUUUUAUUAUUAUUAAUAAUAUAUUUUAAUAGUCCUGACUAAUAUUUGUGCCAGCAGUCGCGGUAACACAAAGAGGGCGAGCGUUAAUCAUAAUGGUUUAAAGGAUCCGUAGAAUGAAUUAUAUAUUAUAAUUUAGAGUUAAUAAAUAUAAUUAAAGAAUUAUAAUAGUAAAGAUGAAAUAAUAAUAAUAAUUAUAAGACUAAUAUAUGUGAAAAUAUUAAUUAAAUAUUAACUGACAUUGAGGGAUUAAAACUAGAGUAGCGAAACGGAUUCGAUACCCGUGUAGUUCUAGUAGUAAACUAUGAAUACAAUUAUUUAUAAUAUAUAUUAUAUAUAAAUAAUAAAUGAAAAUGAAAGUAUUCCACCUGAAGAGUACGUUAGCAAUAAUGAAACUCAAAACAAUAGACGGUUACAGACUUAAGCAGUGGAGCAUGUUAUUUAAUUCGAUAAUCCACGACUAACCUUACCAUAUUUUGAAUAUUAUAAUAAUUAUUAUAAUUAUUAUAUUACAGGCGUUACAUUGUUGUCUUUAGUUCGUGCUGCAAAGUUUUAGAUUAAGUUCAUAAACGAACAAAACUCCAUAUAUAUAAUUUUAAUUAUAUAUAAUUUUAUAUUAUUUAUUAAUAUAAAGAAAGGAAUUAAGACAAAUCAUAAUGAUCCUUAUAAUAUGGGUAAUAGACGUGCUAUAAUAAAAUGAUAAUAAAAUUAUAUAAAAUAUAUUUAAUUAUAUUUAAUUAAUAAUAUAAAACAUUUUAAUUUUUAAUAUAUUUUUUUAUUAUAUAUUAAUAUGAAUUAUAAUCUGAAAUUCGAUUAUAUGAAAAAAGAAUUGCUAGUAAUACGUAAAUUAGUAUGUUACGGUGAAUAUUCUAACUGUUUCGCACUAAUCACUCAUCACGCGUUGAAACAUAUUAUUAUCUUAUUAUUUAUAUAAUAUUUUUUAAUAAAUAUUAAUAAUUAUUAAUUUAUAUUUAUUUAUAUCAGAAAUAAUAUGAAUUAAUGCGAAGUUGAAAUACAGUUACCGUAGGGGAACCUGCGGUGGGCUUAUAAAUAUCUUAAAUAUUCUUACA
Molecule: non-coding RNA, 1688 nt
Filed under: Saccharomyces cerevisiae YJM693
Lineage: Eukaryota; Fungi; Ascomycota; Saccharomycetes; Saccharomycetales; Saccharomycetaceae
Description: 15S ribosomal RNA
Rfam family: Bacterial small subunit ribosomal RNA
Source: RNAcentral